GACGAACGCUGGCGGCGUGCCUAAUACAUGCAAGUUGAGCGAUGAAGAUUGGUGCUUGCACCAAUUUGAAGAGCAGCGAACGGGUGAGUAACGCGUGGGGAAUCUGCCUUUGAGCGGGGGACAACAUUUGGAAACGAAUGCUAAUACCGCAUAACAACUUUAAACAUAAGUUUUAAGUUUGAAAGAUGCAAUUGCAUCACUCAAAGAUGAUCCCGCGUUGUAUUAGCUAGUUGGUGAGGUAAAGGCUCACCAAGGCGAUGAUACAUAGCCGACCUGAGAGGGGGAUCGGCACCAUUGGGACGGAGACACGGCCCAAACUCCUACGGGAGGCAGCAGGAGGGAAUCUUCGGCAAUGGACGAAAGGCUGACCGAGCAACGCCGCGUGAGUGAAGAAGGUUGUCGGAUCGUAAAACUCUGUUGGUAGAGAAGAACGUUGGUGAGAGUGGAAAGCUCAUCAAGUGACGGUAACUACCCAGAAAGGGACGGCUAACUACGUG
RNAcentral lists this ribosomal RNA (497 nucleotides) under uncultured bacterium. Its description in RNAcentral is "partial 16S ribosomal RNA". It matches the Rfam family "Bacterial small subunit ribosomal RNA", at positions 28 to 507 of the family's 1533-position model. The record is from RNAcentral.